This 158-nucleotide ribosomal RNA is filed under the name Mucor irregularis. Its description in RNAcentral is "5.8S ribosomal RNA". It matches the Rfam family "5.8S ribosomal RNA". Rfam says of the family: 5.8S ribosomal RNA (5.8S rRNA) is a component of the large subunit of the eukaryotic ribosome. It is transcribed by RNA polymerase I as part of the 45S precursor that also contains 18S and 28S rRNA. Lineage: Eukaryota; Fungi; Mucoromycota; Mucoromycetes; Mucorales; Mucoraceae. RNAcentral also lists the same sequence under 1 other name. The record is from RNAcentral.
CAACUUUUAACAACGGAUCUCUUGGUUCUCGCAUCGAUGAAGAACGUAGCAAAGUGCGAUAACUAGUGUGAAUUGCAUAUUCAGUGAAUCAUCGAGUCUUUGAACGCAUCUUGCGCUCAAUGGUAUUCCAUUGAGCACGCCUGUUUCAGUAUCAACAA